CGGGUGAGUAACGCGUGAGGAACCUGCCUCACACAGGGGGAUAACAGUUGGAAACGGCUGCUAAUACCGCAUAAGCGCACAGUACCGCAUGGUACAGUGUGAAAAACUCUGGUGGUGUGAGAUGGACCCGCGUCUGAUUAGCUGGUUGGCAGGGUAACGGCCUACCAAGGCGACGAUCAGUAGCCGACCUGAGAGGGUGACCGGCCACAUUGGGACUGAGACACGGCCCAGACUCCUACGGGAGGCAGCAUG
Molecule: ribosomal RNA, 252 nt
Filed under: uncultured bacterium
Lineage: Bacteria
Description: partial 16S ribosomal RNA
Rfam family: Bacterial small subunit ribosomal RNA
Source: RNAcentral